RNAcentral lists this ribosomal RNA (253 nucleotides) under uncultured bacterium. RNAcentral's name for it is "partial 16S ribosomal RNA". It matches the Rfam family "Bacterial small subunit ribosomal RNA", at positions 524 to 776 of the family's 1533-position model. The record is from RNAcentral.
GACGUAGGGCGCGAGCGUUGUCCGGAUUUAUUGGGCGUAAAGAGCUCGUAGGCGGCUUGUUGCGUCGACCGUGAAAACCCGUGGCUUAACUGCGGGCUUGCGGUCGAUACGGGCGGGCUGGAGUUCGGUAGGGGAGACUGGAAUUCCUGGUGUAGCGGUGAAAUGCGCAGAUAUCAGGAGGAACACCGGUGGCGAAGGCGGGUCUCUGGACAGUUCCUGACGCUGAGGCACGAAGGCCAGGGGAGCAAACGGG